ACGAAGGGUGCAAGCGUUACUCGGAAUUACUGGGCGUAAAGCGCGCGCAGGUGGGUGUGCAAGUCGGAAGUGAAAUCCUGGGGCUCAACCCUGGGGCUGCUUCCGAAACUGCAGGUCUAGGGACUGGUAGAGGCUGGUAGAAUUCCCGGUGCAGCGGUGGAAUGCGUAGAGAUCGGGAAGAAUACCCGUGGCGAAGGCGGCCAGCUGGGCCAGGUCCGACACUGAGGCGCGAGAGCGUGGGGAGCGAACAGGA
Molecule: ribosomal RNA, 253 nt
Filed under: uncultured prokaryote
Description: partial 16S ribosomal RNA
Rfam family: Bacterial small subunit ribosomal RNA
Source: RNAcentral